CUUCCUUAUCCACUCUAUCUGGCUGGAGGCUUAUCUUGAAAUGACUGAGGAACGGCACAAUAGCCCUCCAGCUGACCGCUUAAAAGGCUCCCUCCCAUUGUGGCCAUGAGGAGUCAAGUCCUUCCCCGUGUGGAUGCUGCAUGCUCACUGUCAAUGGGCCGGCCCCAUCAACUAAGUAGCAAAGAUCAUUUACAUGAGAGGAGAGCCCGCUUUGUUUGCAGCGGCCAACUGUUUCAAUUACACGUAUGGGAUUAUCACGGCCAGGGAAAACCAAUAGAGGAGGCAAACAAAGACAUGCAGAGUGGAAUACUAAAGAUGUGCGAACCCACGCGUUGAGAAAUACAGAGCACAUGUGGAGGUGGAAAAAGUUUGGAGACUCACCCGACGCGCCGAGCUCCAGGAAGCCAAGGAGCAGCACCACCAUCCAGCCUGGAUGACAGCCGCCGCUCGCCGCGCUCCGACUUGGGUACAUUCCUUCGACUCUGCCUUUGCACCUUGGACAGCUGCAAACAUCCACCAGUCACAAGUUGGAGAUCGGGAAGAGGAGAAAUGUUCAAGUUAACUUCCUCAGCGUGCAACCUCCAAGUGACUGACUGGUCUGCCCAAUUGAUCGCGAUCCUGCCCACUAACCUCACGCUCAUUGCACACAAGGCUGCAGAUGCUGUGGUGGCGUCCAAGACACGUGCUGCCACCUAGUGUCCGUCGAUGGAAGCGUCGCAGAUCGCUUUGUAUUGCAAAUACAGUGUGUCUCAAAUGUGAAUGAAUGCAUGAAUUUUAAGGGGAGCCCUCUACAUUUUUGUUGGCCUGGACUGGACUGGCCUGGCCGAGGCUAUGAGCCGAAAUUGUUGCUGGUCCUUGUCAAGUCCAAGAGGAGGCCUAGAGCAGUCUACUUGGUGUAUCUAAUUAAAAUAGAACUUCACUUCC
Long non-coding RNA from Syngnathus typhle (broad-nosed pipefish), 924 nucleotides. RefSeq lists it as uncharacterized. The record is from RefSeq and is a predicted model, not a curated record. The transcript has 3 exons. NCBI's taxonomy places the organism in Eukaryota, Metazoa, Chordata, Actinopteri, Syngnathiformes, Syngnathidae.